Regulatory RNA element from Pseudomonas fulva 12-X, 109 nucleotides. It matches the Rfam family "Pseudomon-Rho RNA". Lineage: Bacteria; Pseudomonadati; Pseudomonadota; Gammaproteobacteria; Pseudomonadales; Pseudomonadaceae. The record is from Rfam.
UUCGGGCCUGUCGCUUUUCCUAAGCGACCCCCUGCACGCCGCUGCCGACGCAUUCCUAAUCGAACUUUCGACAAUAAAGCGGGCGCCUGUCGCCUCUCCGCGGUGCGGC